This is a long non-coding RNA of Lactuca sativa (garden lettuce), 615 nucleotides long. RefSeq lists it as uncharacterized. The record is from RefSeq and is a predicted model, not a curated record. Lineage: Eukaryota; Viridiplantae; Streptophyta; Magnoliopsida; Asterales; Asteraceae.
AGUAAAAAGUAAUUGGAAAUGAAUGACUGGAAUUGUCUCAUAGUAGAUACGGAAUGGUUACUGUAUUUGUGGUGUGUACAUAAAUAUUUGCUGUUGGUUUAUUCAAGGCAAGGAAUAUUACGGGGAAGAUGAAUCUGCAACAAAUAAUCAAAAGCAUCAGUUGCCAAUUGCCAUUCUAAAAAAAAAAAACAAAAGCUAUUCAGAAUGCGACGGCAACGCGCCAAGUGGUGGGGCGACAACAGGAGAUGAGUUUCACCUCUCGUGGAUCGAGGAGAUUAGAGUCGCCACCAUCAGUUAGCAACCGCCACCACCACCACCUCACGUCGUUUCCUGCGGCCAUGACCACCGAUUCAAAGCUUUGUCCCAUCCACACAACAGGAAUCUCAUUUCAGAUGAAUCUCUUAAAAAUUGUUCCGGAAGGCACGCGCAGAUAGGUCAGAUCAAGUACUUCUGGAGAUCGUGGCAAGGCGAAGGCGUGAUCGUACCGCUCCUCAUGUUUUAUGAUUUAUGUGAUAUUGUUAUGGGGGAUACUCUGAUGUUUAAACUAUUUUGAGAACAAGAUGUAUGAGCUUAAUGGUUUUUGGAAUGCGAUAAAAUGUUUUAAUUUGGCUCUAA